This 617-nucleotide small RNA is filed under the name Pan troglodytes (chimpanzee). RNAcentral describes it as "processed transcript". The record is from RNAcentral. Lineage: Eukaryota; Metazoa; Chordata; Mammalia; Primates; Hominidae.
AGGGUCACGUGGGCGUCCGGAAACCCUGGCCGCAGCGCCAGGGGUGAGCUGGCGGCGGGGGAGGCGGGCAGCGGAGCCAAGCUGACCCGGCGAGCGGAGCCGGGGCUGGAGAGCGGCGACCACUGCGGAUCUCGGAAGGAAGAAAUGAUGUAAAUCACUCAUCCAAACUUUAAGGUCAAAGGUGAGAAGGAAGGUCAGGAAGAACAUGGCCUGGCCAAAUGUUUUUCAGAGAGGGUCUCUGCUGUCCCAGUUCAGCCAUCAUCAUGUUGUAGUGUUCCUGCUCACUUUCUUCAGAUCUGGAGCAGCAACCAUUUGUUCCCCAGUGCAGAGAAAGCGACUCUUUUCCUCGGAACACUGGAUACCAUUUUCCUCUUCUCCUAUGCUGUGGGCCUAUUCAUCAGUGGCAUCGUUGGGGAUCGGUUGAAUUUGCGAUGGGUUCUGUCUUUUGGCAUGUGCUCUUCUGCAUUAGUGGUGUUUGUCUUUGGUGCGCUCACAGAAUGGCUGCGUUUCUACAACAAAUGGCUGUACUGCUGCCUGUGGAUUGUGAACGGCCUGCUGCAGUCCACUGGUUGGCCCUGUGUGGUUGCUGUUAUGGGCAACUGGUUUGGGAAAGCCGG